GCACUGCUGAGGAGUCCCAUAAUAGGAUGAAACGGCCUUCAAGCAGUAU
Molecule: non-coding RNA, 49 nt
Organism: Schistosoma rodhaini
Lineage: Eukaryota; Metazoa; Platyhelminthes; Trematoda; Strigeidida; Schistosomatidae
Source: Rfam